Tupaia belangeri chinensis (Chinese tree shrew) is the source of this 1121-nucleotide long non-coding RNA. RefSeq lists it as uncharacterized. The transcript has 3 exons. The record is from RefSeq and is a predicted model, not a curated record. Lineage: Eukaryota; Metazoa; Chordata; Mammalia; Scandentia; Tupaiidae.
CACAAAAACCCAGACUGCAGCCACAGAGGGAAGCUCCCUCGGUCUCUGAAUGACUGUGUGGAGUCAUGGGCACAGGACUGUGACCUGAAGAGAAGAGGAAACUAGAAAUGCAGGCUUAUCGUGUUGAGCUGCAGAGGCGGUGGCUGCUUGUUAAGCAGUUAGCCUCCUUGAGCGCCGAGCAGGAGGACAGCCACCUCCUCUCUGCCACCGCAAUGACCCGGUAAACUGCAGAAAACCUAGAUUAUAUUGUGCUGGUGCCGAAGCAUACGAAGACGUUCUCUGAAGUGUAGGUCCAUUUCACAGACUCUGGAAUGAGCUGGGAAAUCAGAACAGGGGAUAGAGGUGCAUCACAGCCUUCUAAUAAGACUGACCCUUUGACAAACAUUAUCUUUAAAGUCCACCGUGCAUUCUGGACUUUAAAGAAACUUACUCAAACCACAGUAACAGACCAUUCCAGGGGUUAGAUGCACUUGGGUGAAGUGAAAACCCCAGAGGCAGCUCUUUCCAGCAGCUCCAGACGCUACCACCGUUUGCUACUCGGGGUGUCCUCGCAACUCACAUGGACGCUGUGUAGGGCAGAGCACCGCAGAAGAAUCCGCUCUACAGAGCCAUUGGUUAUGAAUAAAAGAGAAAGGAAGAACUAGGGGUGCAGACUACAUUUUUAGUUUUUGGAGAUCCAUGCUCCGAUUUUGGACAACCAUGAGCGUGGAAGAGAAUUUGCCAUCCCAUAUGGAGUAGCCAGCUGCGUCAUUCGGAGAGCACCUGCACGUCAACGGGACACCGUCUCACACUGUAUAGCCACGACCACUGCGACUCCCCGGGGCUGGGCAUGCGUGGGGGUCUCUGCUGCAUUUCCUGUCAUGCGCGUAGACCAGGUGCCAUGGGAUGGGCUUAGAGCAGCGAGUGACCCAGACCUGGUCUUUCUCCACAGUGGGGAAAAGAGACUACACACAAAAGGCCUCACUCGCUGACUGAGGAGACUGUGGUCAACACUCGGCAAGGGGCCUGGCUUCCAGCUCUGAAGGUCAAAACACCCGAAAUGAAGCGGAGGGUUAAAUAGUGAAUGUGUCAUGGUGCUGUCAGCAGCCCUGUGACCAGACAGCCUGACAGGACAGCUUGGG